Molecule: ribosomal RNA, 253 nt
Filed under: uncultured bacterium
Lineage: Bacteria
Description: partial 16S ribosomal RNA
Rfam family: Bacterial small subunit ribosomal RNA
Source: RNAcentral
UACGGAGGGUGCAAGCGUUAUCCGGAUUCACUGGGUUUAAAGGGUGCGUAGGAGGGCAGGGAAGUCAGUGGUGAAAUCUCCGAGCUUAACUCGGAAACUGCCGUUGAUACUCUCUGUCCUGAAUACCGUGGAGGUGAGCGGAAUAUGUCAUGUAGCGGUGAAAUGCUUAGAUAUGACAUAGAACACCAAUUGCGAAGGCAGCUCGCUACACGAAUAUUGACUCUGAGGCACGAAAGCGUGGGGAUCAAACAGG